Molecule: small nucleolar RNA, 103 nt
Organism: Sorex fumeus (smoky shrew)
Lineage: Eukaryota; Metazoa; Chordata; Mammalia; Eulipotyphla; Soricidae
Product: small nucleolar RNA U13
Exons: 1
Source: RefSeq, a predicted model, not a curated record
AGCCUUUGUGGUUCAUAAGCAUGCAGACUAGGCGGUCACACACUCCUGAGACGUGUGCCUCCCUCAAGACUUGUUAUCAGAUCAACACUCUACUCAUCUGAUA